UUAUGUACUAAACUCAUUAUUAGUUUGGUUUGUAUUAUUUUGUCAGUUCAUGAAAAACACAAGAUAGUUGGGUGCGUGCGCAAAAAUAUCAAUGAAAAGAUGAAAAAACCAAAAAAAAGCUCUGCCCUUCCAUCUCUUGGAUAGAUAGAGAGGGAGGGCAGAGGCCUUUGGUGUCCCUUUCAGUCAAGAAUUGGGGCUUCACAAUUACUUAGAUAUAUCACCUAAAAAAAGUUCAAAGAAAAAUUAUGCAAGUUCAAUCUGUGUGCUGCUACAAAUUUGCACUUCUUGUCCAGUCGUACUAGUACCGAUGAAUAACAAGUUACUGAUAGUUAUUACUGACGGAAAAAUGUAGGGGUUGAAGUAAACCCUCUCGAUAUACUAUUACUGAUGUAUGUGCUCUGCCUGCACAUUUUUCAAUACCGAAGAAUAACCCUAGCGAGAAGUUCAUGUUUAGAAAGUUGGUAGGUUCAUACAUAGAAACUUAACAAAUAUUGUCCAUUUUAGUAUUGAUCGAGUAUCAUAUAUGCGUCAGUUCUAAAUACUUUGUUCAUUGUCAUCAGAGAUAAUACAAAAAGCAUAUCCUUCAGUUCUGCAGAUAUUUUACAACUUCUCUGAACAUGCGUCCACCGACAUGCUCGGCACCGUCCACAACUUCAUCGUGUGAGAGCUUCUGCUCUAGAUCCUCUUCCUCCAUGGUCCCCGCACGCCGUGACGACCAGGUCUGCAACCGAAACUAAAGCAUGGUGUUCUUGGAACCAAACUGAAGCAAUGCAACGAGAAGUACAAAAACUUGGGCUGAUGUACCUUGUCCUAUACCCACUUCUUUGCCUGGAUGUAGGAAUCUGAUAGAGAAAACAAGUUUGAUUUCUUGGCCCACUAUCUUGUCCAUGUGUGUGGCAUUAAUCAACCGUCUAAAGGAGAAAGGUGUUCUACAUGAAAUUCAUCAAUUUGUCAGUGCGAGUUUAUUCUUUUUUGUCAGGUUUAAGUUCAACUAUGGUUUUGUUUGGACUUGCAAGAUUCAGUUGACAACCACUAUUGUGCAAUGAUAUUAUGGUACUAUUAACAUAAACAUAGAGCCCUCCACCUAUGGCGACGCGCCAUGGCUCCUCCUCCCACAUCCCACGACGCGCUGCAAGGGCGGUCGCCGGCGGAGGGCGGAGCGUCGGAAACAACCACCUCUGCCCCAUCCCGCUCCUCCUCAUCGCGUGACCGUCUUCUUCGGCGCCCUGCACCUCGACGUCGAGCACUGCCCUCGCAUGAGAGAUCGGACGGACAAGGCGCUCCUGCCACCUUCUUCCCCGUGGAUCCAGCUCCUGUUCCCCGCCGACAGCAGGAGACAUGAGGUCACCUCCGGGGCUGCUGGUGGCGUGAAGGCCAUCAAAUGUGGUAAAUUUCUAACCCUUGUAACCUCAGGUACUACUACAAAGCAGAAAGGAUCUCUGUAAGUUAGUUAAUAGCACCAUGCCGUGCCUCUUGUGCUGCAAGACUUCUAGUUCUUCAACUAAAAAAAUAUACGUUUCGCUUGGCAUGCUUUCUGGAUGUGGUAUUACAUGAUAUCAGUCCUAAAAAAGUAAAACUUUCUUCUAUUGUCAGUUCAAUUUUCUCUAGUAUGUAUGUUCUGGAGAUGAUGCAUGUUUGUUUGCUUUUUAUCAUGAUAUAUAGAAAGAUGCUGGUAGCUGUAGUACCUAUACUACAACAGUUCAUUGACAAAAAAUAUAUCAGUUCAAUACAUACUUGGAAAAAAGCUCAAUACUAAGUGUUCUCUGCCUAUCCUUACAUUAGCUAGUCUUCACCAUGUUCAGAUAGUACCUAGAAGAAGUUAACUCAUGCAUUUCCAUAAAACUAUGUACUGAUAAAUCAGAACUCGUGCAUUUCCAUAAAAUUAUGUAUGUUUCGUGUGUGUGCUUCUACAAAUCUGAAAUACUUUUCCAAUCAUACUAGUACUGAUGCAAUCACCUAAAAACGUUGAAGAAAAAUUAUGUAAGUUUGGUGCGUGUGCUGCUACAAAUCUAAACUUCUUGUCCAGUCAUUCUAGUACCGAUGAAGAUCGAGUUGACGGAAAUAAUGUAGUCGAUACCUGAGACCCUUAAUAGUCCUAUAUAUAUAAGUUGUGCCUGAUAGCCAUACAUGAUUUUUCUCUUUGUUGCCUGCUUGUUUUUGUAAAAUUCUUUGAACUUAUUUAGGUGAUAUAUUUUGACCUUUGCCUCGUCAGUACAACAGCACGCUCCCCAGCCGGUCACGAGAAGAGCUGCGUGCAGGCCCCCUGUGCUCUAUCCUCGAUCCGCCUCAGUCAUCUCCCUCUCAUCCUCUCUCUGCUCCGUGUGUGUGUGUGUGCAGGGAGUGGGAGCAGAUAGAGCAGGGGAGUGGGAGGCCCUUCCAUGGUGAAUUCAUAGGCAUCUUCCAUGGAGCACAAGUAGCAAUUCCCAGCUGAGAGAACCCUCAUGUUAAAAAGUAUAAAAGCAGUUUUGAAGCAAUUCCCAGUGUCUUUAGAAGCAUUCAUGGUUAAAAAGCAACGACUACCUCCUCCGUUCGAGUUGAGCACUGGUCAUCGUCCAAGUUGAGCACUAGGUGUCGUCCAAGUUCAAAGAGGGUUGUAUGCAAGUACAGAAGUUUGUUUUAGUGAGAAAAUGCGGCGUUUUCACAAUAUUAUGUAUGAUUCAUUUGUUCAACCUUAGACUUGGCGAUAUUCAGUCUAUUUUUCUAUGAUGAAGGCACACAUGAAGUCAUGUGCAAUGGUUAUACCCCUAGUGUUUCAAAGAUUCGUAUUUUGUUU
Molecule: long non-coding RNA, 2773 nt
Organism: Triticum aestivum (bread wheat)
Lineage: Eukaryota; Viridiplantae; Streptophyta; Magnoliopsida; Poales; Poaceae
Exons: 3
Source: RefSeq, a predicted model, not a curated record